Molecule: long non-coding RNA, 1656 nt
Organism: Monodelphis domestica (gray short-tailed opossum)
Lineage: Eukaryota; Metazoa; Chordata; Mammalia; Didelphimorphia; Didelphidae
Source: RefSeq, a predicted model, not a curated record
UUCCUUUUAAGCAUAUUAUAUCAAACUAAAACAUAACUUUCAAAAUCAGUUUGGCAGAAAUUAGUCACAGGCCAACAUCUCCCACCACAUGCCAAGUUAGGUUCAAAAUGGGUGUAUGAUUUCAACAUAAAGGGUGAUGUCAUAAGCAAAUUAGAGAAGCAUGGAAAAAUUACCUAUUGCUCUGUGGGGACAGGAAGAGAUCAUAACCACACGAGAGACAAAGAGGAUCACAUAAGAUUCCUUACAGGGUUUCAGAGCCUCAUGUAAUCAACACAAUGUCAUUGGCAAAUAAAGAGCACUCAGAAGACGUCAGUACCCAUGAUGCUCUGAUUUAUAAGGAAACUCUUCAACUUGGAUGGUCUGCUCUCUCAUCCUUGAUCCUGGCAAACACUUAGGCUGGGCUCUAAGCCCAUCAUGGCACCUGCUUCAACCACCUUCAUGGCCAUUGGAACAAAUUGUUCUCAUCUGCCCAUUCCAUCAGAAGAAGUCUUCACAUGCUUAGGGUAGACAUCUCCCAAACUCAUCAAUGAGUUUAAGAGCCCCUUUCGGCCCAGGAAGUGUGGAACUACUUAAUAGAAAAUGCCAGUGGCAAAACUUGCUAUUUCAGUUUUCCAAAGGACAGCAGCUGGCAGACUUCACCAAAUGGGUUUCCCUCCUCCCCAACUGCUCAACUGUCUUCUAUACUAUCGCCUAAGGUCAUACAGCAAACCAAAGGGAGAGGGCAACUCUAUUCGUAGCUCCCCUCCAGAUUUCCCCCCAAAUGGAAAAAGAAAAUCAUAGUCCUUAUGACAAAUAACCAGUCAGCAAAUCAAAUCUCCACAUUGAUCAUGUUCAAAAAUGUGUCUCCUCUAAACCUUGAAUCCAUCUUCUUUCUAACAGGAAGUGGCUAGCAUACUUCCUUAUCAGUGUUCUGAAGUGGAAGUUGGUCAUUGACCUGAUUAGAGUUCUCAAAAAAAAAUUAUGUUCUAAAGUCCAGGUAUCACUGACCUCAAAAUGCCAAAGCGUGCUCCUGCUUUCCCCAACAGUACAUUUAGAAAAUGUGAUACUAUAGGGAGUGAAGAAAUAGGGCAACGUAGCCUAUACUGGAUAACUGUUUUCCUCCAGGAUUUCACCAGACAGCAUUUGGAGCUUCCAUCAAUUCGCCCCUUCACUCCCUCCUACUCCUAAUCCAUCUAAGAAAGCCUGGAGUUGCUUCAGUAGCAAUGCUAAUUUCACUGUGCCUUCUCCUGGUGGUCCUAGAAUAUCUCUCAGGACAAACGCUCUAUGUCCCCUUGGCCACCCAGUGACACUUUCUUCUGCAGAAUCUAUUGUGUGCUCAGAAACUUGCCAUUAUAAUGCAGCGCCUGACCUGGAUUUCUAAUCACAGAGAGCUCCACUGCUAUUCCUGCAGCAGAGGAAGAACACAGUCCUUUCUGCUAUACUUUCUACAAGUCCCAGCCAUCCCCUGGAGCUGCAAAUGUCAUCCUUAACUGACAUUAAAAAAUCAGGUUCCUCUUCUUCCAUCUCAGACUUAAUUUGAAAUUGAAAAAGAUUUUAUAUACUUAGAAUACUUUGUAUGCACCAUAUGUAUUUAACAAAAAUCAAAGCCAGUCCUUGGAACACAUGCUACCACUACACAAGCUGCCGUUUGUUGGGGACACCAAAAUAAAAUAUUUC